RNAcentral lists this ribosomal RNA (492 nucleotides) under uncultured bacterium. RNAcentral's name for it is "partial 16S ribosomal RNA". It matches the Rfam family "Bacterial small subunit ribosomal RNA", at positions 29 to 507 of the family's 1533-position model. The record is from RNAcentral.
AGUGAACGCUGGCGGUAGGCCUAACACAUGCAAGUCGAACGGCAGCACAGUAAGAGCUUGCUCUUACGGGUGGCGAGUGGCGGACGGGUGAGGAAUACAUCGGAAUCUACUUUUUCGUGGGGGAUAACGUAGGGAAACUUACGCUAAUACCGCAUACGACCUACGGGUGAAAGCAGGGGAUCUUCGGACCUUGCGCGAUUGAAUGAGCCGAUGUCGGAUUAGCUAGUUGGCGGGGUAAAGGCCCACCAAGGCGACGAUCCGUAGCUGGUCUGAGAGGAUGAUAAGCCACACUGGAGCUGAGACACGGUCCAGACUCCUACGGGAGGCAGCAGUGGGGAAUAUUGGACAAUGGGCGCAAGCCUGAUCCAGCCAUACCGCGUGGGUGAAGAAGGCCUUCGGGUUGUAAAGCCCUUUUGUUGGGAAAGAAAAGCAGCAGGUUAAUACCCCGCUGUUCUGACGGUACCCAAAGAAUAAGCACCGGCUAACUUCGUG